Molecule: non-coding RNA, 188 nt
Organism: Postia placenta Mad-698-R
Lineage: Eukaryota; Fungi; Basidiomycota; Agaricomycetes; Polyporales; Adustoporiaceae
Source: Rfam
UCACCACUCUGGCCUUUUGGCUUAGAUCAAGUGUAGUAUCUGUUCUUAAUAGUUUAACCACUAUUAUGGAGGCAUUGCCUCCAUUCAUGGUUAUCUUAUUUUUGUCGCCCUUUCUUCUUGGCUCUGCUUGCAACCGAGGGGUGUGAUGACUGUGCUGUUGCAGUAUUGGCAUGUGUUGUCGGGGGAUU